AGCGAACGCUGGCGGCAGGCCUAACACAUGCAAGUCGAACGAACCUUCCGGGGUUAGUGGCGGACGGGUGCGUAACACGUGGGAACGUGCCUUUAGGCUCGGAAUAACUCAGGGAAACUUGUGCUAAUAUCGAAUGAGUCCCUCGGGGGAAAGAUUAGUCGGCGUUAGAGCGGCCCGCGCCUGUUUAGCUUGUUGGUUGUGGUAAUGGCGCACUAUGGCGACGAUCUGUAGCUGGUAUGAGAGGAUGAACAGCCACAUUGGGACUGGGACACGGCCCACACUCCUGCGGGAGGCGGGAAAGGGGAAUCUAGCGCAAUGGGCGAGAGCCUGACGCAGCCAGGGCGGGAGAAUGAUGAAGGUCUUAGAAUAGUAAAAUAGUUUCACCGGGGACGAUAAUGACGGUACCCGGAGAAGAAGCCCCGGCUAACUUCGUG
Molecule: ribosomal RNA, 434 nt
Filed under: uncultured bacterium
Lineage: Bacteria
Description: partial 16S ribosomal RNA
Rfam family: Bacterial small subunit ribosomal RNA
Source: RNAcentral